UUACUAAACUUUUAUUACUUUUAUCUUUGAAGGCUGGAACCAUCAAAGUUCUUAGAUCAACUUUAAGUGCUGGAUGGAGUAAAAAAAACCCACAAGAGACUAUUUGUCGAUCUGUGAACAGAUCUGACAAGAAAAUGCAAAACAAAAUCAAAAAGGAUGCAAAGACUGUUCUGGGGAGCCAGUCAAAUUAUUUAUUAAAAUUUGUUAGAAGUAAACUAAAACAUUAAUAAAUGAAAUCAAAAUUUUAAACUGAGCUCCAGACUUGAAACUGUUACAAAGGCUCAGGAUAUAGAACCUUCGGUUGGGUUGAGAGAAUUCUCUUAAAACCUGCUGGUUUGUUCCCCUAGAGCAAGGCGGUGCUUUGUCCUUAGCUACAAUCUCUAACACCAUCACCACUCCCAAGUGUAGAUGCCAUUCUGAAAAAGAUCCCCUCAGUUCCUGAUGACCCUG
Molecule: long non-coding RNA, 450 nt
Filed under: Bos taurus (domestic cattle)
Lineage: Eukaryota; Metazoa; Chordata; Mammalia; Artiodactyla; Bovidae
Description: long non-coding RNA NONBTAT026764
Source: RNAcentral